UGGGGAAUAUUGCACAAUGGGGGAAACCCUGAUGCAGCAACGCCGCGUGAAGGAAGACGGUCUUCGGAUUGUAAACUUUUGUUCUUGGUGAAGAAAAAUGACGGUAGCCAAGGAGGAAGCCACGGCUAACUACGUGCCAGCAGCCGCGGUAAUACGUAGGUGGCAAGCGUUGUCCGGAAUUACUGGGUGUAAAGGGAGCGCAGGCGGGAAAUCAAGUUGGAUGUGAAAUGUCGGGGCUUAACCCCGGAACUGCAUCCAAAACUGAUAUUCUUGAGUGAAGUAGAGGUAGGCGGAAUUCCGAGUGUAGCGGUGAAAUGCGUAGAUAUUCGGAGGAACACCAGUGGCGAAGGCGGCCUACUGGGCUUUAACUGACGCUGAGGCUCGAAAGUGUGGGGAGCAAACA
This 403-nucleotide ribosomal RNA is filed under the name uncultured bacterium. RNAcentral describes it as "bacterial SSU rRNA". It matches the Rfam family "Bacterial small subunit ribosomal RNA", at positions 355 to 774 of the family's 1533-position model. The record is from RNAcentral.